AUAACGGUGUCUCUAGACACCACCUUUGUUUAAAAAAAAAAAUCC
Picea glauca (white spruce) is the source of this 45-nucleotide non-coding RNA. NCBI's taxonomy places the organism in Eukaryota, Viridiplantae, Streptophyta, Pinopsida, Pinales, Pinaceae. The record is from Rfam.